This is a non-coding RNA of Oikopleura dioica, 45 nucleotides long. The record is from Rfam. NCBI's taxonomy places the organism in Eukaryota, Metazoa, Chordata, Appendicularia, Copelata, Oikopleuridae.
AGAAGGGCCCUUUUCAGGGCCACAAAAUCUUUGAAAAAUAUCCGA